UUUUUUUUUUAAGGGAGCUCAAGGU
This 25-nucleotide non-coding RNA is filed under the name Cricetulus griseus (Chinese hamster). Lineage: Eukaryota; Metazoa; Chordata; Mammalia; Rodentia; Cricetidae. The record is from RNAcentral.